UACCCCGUGGUGCAAUGGCAGCACAUCUGGUUUUGGUCCAGAGGGUUCCUGGUUCGAGUCCAGGCGGGGUAACCA
RNAcentral lists this transfer RNA (75 nucleotides) under Planctomycetota bacterium. Its description in RNAcentral is "Planctomycetes bacterium (activated sludge metagenome) tRNA-Gln". It matches the Rfam family "tRNA". From Rfam's summary of the family: Transfer RNA (tRNA) molecules are approximately 80 nucleotides in length. Their secondary structure includes four short double-helical elements and three loops (D, anti-codon, and T loops). The record is from RNAcentral. Lineage: Bacteria; Pseudomonadati; Planctomycetota.